Non-coding RNA from Sturnus vulgaris (Common starling), 620 nucleotides. The record is from RefSeq and is a predicted model, not a curated record. Lineage: Eukaryota; Metazoa; Chordata; Aves; Passeriformes; Sturnidae.
UUUUUGUUUUGACCAAUGAGAACGCGCAAAGCCAAUGCCACUUAUUUGCAUAGAGGAACUAUAAAUACGUGGCACGCAGACGCGCUUCUCACUUCGCUCCCGGGCUAAUCCCAGAUCGGUUCCGUGGUGUGAGCAGAUCAGCCGUGGUCGUGAUGCCUGAGCCGGCCAAAUCCGCUCCCGCGCCCAAGAAGGGCUCCAAGAAGGCGGUGACCAAGACGCAGAAGAAAGGCGACAAGAAGCGCAAGAAGAGCCGCAAGGAGAGCUACUCCAUCUACGUGUACAAGGUGCUGAAGCAGGUGCACCCCGACACGGGCAUCUCGUCCAAGGCCAUGGGCAUCAUGAACUCCUUCGUCAACGACAUCUUCGAGCGCAUCGCCGGCGAGGCGUCGCGCCUGGCGCACUACAACAAGCGCUCCACCAUCACGUCGCGGGAGAUCCAGACGGCCGUGCGGCUGCUGCUGCCCGGCGAGCUGGCCAAGCACGCCGUGUCCGAGGGCACCAAGGCUGUCACCAAGUACACCAGCUCCAAGUAAAUACCUGCUGAACAUACCGCUUAACCCAAAGGCUCUUUUAAGAGCCAGCCACUUUUUCAUUAAAAGAGCUGUACAAUCAAGUAAGAA